CAGCAGCCGCGGGAAUACGUAGGGUGCGAGCGUUAAUCGGAAUUACUGGGCGUAAAGCGUGCGCAGGCGGUUCGUUAAGACAGAUGUGAAAUCCCCGGGCUUAACCUGGGAACUGCAUUUGUGACUGGCGAGCUAGAGUAUGGCAGAGGGGGGUAGAAUUCCACGUGUAGCAGUGAAAUGCGUAGAGAUGUGGAGGAAUACCGAUGGCGAAGGCAGCCCCCUGGGCCAAUACUGACGCUCAUGCACGAAAGCGUGGGGAGCAAACAGGAUUAGAUACCCCAGUAGUCCCUGUCUCUUAUAA
Molecule: ribosomal RNA, 301 nt
Filed under: uncultured bacterium
Lineage: Bacteria
Description: partial 16S ribosomal RNA
Rfam family: Bacterial small subunit ribosomal RNA
Source: RNAcentral